CAGUCGCCGCGGUAAUACGUAGGGUGCAAGCGUUGUUCGGAUUCAUUGGGCGUAAAGGGUGCGUAGGUGGCGGUGUAAGUCUAACGUGAAAUCUCGGGGCUCAACCUCGAAAUUGCGUCGGAUACUGCAUUGCUAGAGGAUUGUAGAGGAGAGUGGAAUUCAUGGUGUAGCAGUGAAAUGCGUAGAUAUCAUGAGGAAGACCAGUUGCGAAGGCGACUCUCUGGGCAAUUCCUGACACUGAGGCACGAAGGCUAGGGGAGCAAACGGGAUUAGAGACCCCUGUAGUCCCUGUCUCUUAUAC
This 301-nucleotide ribosomal RNA is filed under the name uncultured bacterium. Its description in RNAcentral is "partial 16S ribosomal RNA". It matches the Rfam family "Bacterial small subunit ribosomal RNA", at positions 509 to 807 of the family's 1533-position model. The record is from RNAcentral.